This 463-nucleotide ribosomal RNA is filed under the name uncultured bacterium. RNAcentral's name for it is "partial 16S ribosomal RNA". It matches the Rfam family "Bacterial small subunit ribosomal RNA", at positions 339 to 795 of the family's 1533-position model. The record is from RNAcentral.
CUACGGGACGCUGCAGUGGGGAAUAUUGCACAAUGGGCGCAAGCCUGAUGCAGCCAUGCCGCGUGUAUGAAGAAGGCCUUCGGGUUGUAAAGUACUUUCAGCGGGGAGGAAGGGAGUAAAGUUAAUACCUUUGCUCAUUGACGUUACCCGCAGAAGAAGCACCGGCUAACUCCGUGCCAGCAGCCGCGGUAAUAGGAGGGUGCAAGCGUUAAUCGAAAUUACUGGGCGUAAAGCGCACGCAGGCGGUUUGUUAAGUCAGAUGUGAAAUCCCCGGGCUCAACCUGGGAACUGCAUCUGAUACUGGCAAGCUUGAGUCUCGUAGAGGGGGGUAGAAUUCCAGGUGUAGCGGUGAAAUGCGUAGAGAUCUGGAGGAAUACCGGUGGCGAAGGCGGCCCCCUGGACGAAGACUGACGCUCAGGUGCGAAAGCGUGGGGAGCAAACAGGAUUAGAUACCCUGGUAGUC